RNAcentral lists this long non-coding RNA (1387 nucleotides) under Marmota monax (woodchuck). The record is from RNAcentral. Lineage: Eukaryota; Metazoa; Chordata; Mammalia; Rodentia; Sciuridae.
AGCCCAUGUCGAGCAGACCAGAAUUCCCCCGGGGCCGGACGAGCCGGGCAGCCCUCGUCUGAGACAGCGGGUCUGCACCAGGGGACGCCUCGGGUUUCUGGAGGCAGCAGCCAACUCCAUCGGCCCCUGUGCGCGAUGGCGGAUCCCAGGUCCCACGGCUGGGGUCCAGUGAGAGGUCAAAAGGUCACUUGGUUCAGUCCCCUGCCCAAGGCACGUUUCCCACGGCCAACAGGACUCAUGCGCUUCAGUGCGCAAGGGCCCCUUCGGGAACCAAGGGAGAGGAGGUGGCCCCCACAGCUGUGUUGGUCUCUGGGCCUCCGUGUCCUGUGGGCUUUGAGCACCUGGGCGUGGGGAAUGUCCACGUGGCCGAGAGCCACAGCCCAGACCCCCCAGGCCAGCGACACCCCAAGCCCACCGAGCACGCCUCACACUUGCUACGUCUGGGACAGCACACACGACAUUUCAUCCCGUGUACCCACAGGGUGACCAUGAUCCUACUGGGCAGGGGCUGAGCGCGGGGCUCUCCUCUCCUGCCCGAGUCUCAGAGACCUGUUCUUGGAGGUCUCUGAAUCCAGCUUAUCCACUGCUGGACAGUGGGUGGCGAAGAGUGGCCCAGGUGACAUGGCCAGCAAAGGGGGUCAGGAUGGCAGCUCAUAUCCCCAAACCCCAAGUGCCCCACCAGGCCCUUCCUGCCCGCUGUGUACUGUUCCUGGCGCAGUCUACCCUGUUCUGGUCCGUGGUGCUGAGGCGAUGUCUUGCCGCCAGCGUCCCGUCCUCCCUCCCCGGUGAGGAGGGCCAGCAGCCGCUCUCUGCCUGCCACAGACACAAGGAAAGCUGCUCUUCAGAGAGGUGAAGGUGUGGAGGACCCUGGGGUGCUCCUGCUGUGGACAGGAAGGAACCCCAGAGAUGGGGCCAAGCCCAAGCAUGAGUGGGAGCCCAGGGGACUGUGCAGGGGUGCUACCUGCCCCAGGGGUCCCUGGGCGAGUCGCUGUGUGGUGAUGGACCUCUUGGUGGGGCUCAGGUAGGUGGAAGAUGAGCAGCCACACAGGGAAUAGCAUGCAGCCCUGAAAAGAAGAGAGCCCUCCUUUUACAGUGACGGGGAGCGGCCACUGAUAAACGAGGAACAGGGUGCACCUCAGGGUGUUCCCUGGGUGUGCACGAGUAUGUGCACAGGUGCUGGUGUGCAUGUGUGUGCAAGUAGAUUCACGAGCACAUACAAGGAUGCCCUUAAGCACCUCUAGGCAGAUAAUCAUAACUUACAUGCUAAGAAGGGCCCAGACACUGGCAGCCUGGGGAGGUGACCAGGGACAGGUGUGUGGGAGGGAUUCUUACUCCAAGGAGAAAACUGAACCAUUGUUCUCUCGGGUGACAGGCAGACCCUGUUCCC